This 708-nucleotide small RNA is filed under the name Pongo abelii (Sumatran orangutan). RNAcentral's name for it is "processed transcript". The record is from RNAcentral. Lineage: Eukaryota; Metazoa; Chordata; Mammalia; Primates; Hominidae.
CCGGCCAAUAUUGUCACUCUAACGUGCACUCGCGCCUUCCCUCGGCUCUACAGGGCAUCGCAGCCACCGAGCCCAGCCCCUCCCCGGCCUAUGCCAGCCGCCUGGUCGCCCUCCAGUCUGCGGAGCCAGGCCUGGCCUGACAGCAGCAGCUGUUUUCUUCCCGAAGCCGCAGCGCUCAAGGGCGUGGUUGCGGUAGAGACCUCGGAUCCCACUUGGCCUGUGCGGACCCUACCGCGCCAACCCCUCGUCUUAGGCCCGAGAGGCCCGACAGCCAGGUGGGGGUGGUCUGGGCAGACUGGUCGACAUCGCAAGUCAGUUCGGACUGGGAGGGCCAGCUGCCCACAGCACGGUCUCCGGGAGGCCUCUGGAGCAGCGCGAGAAGCCCUUCAGAUGCGAGUUCGAGGGCUGCGAGCGGCGCUUCGCCAACAGCAGCGACCGUAAGAAGCAUUCGCACGUGCACACUAGCGACAAGCCAUACACGUGCAAGGUGCGGGGCUGCGACAAGUGCUACACGCACCCCAGCUCGCUGCGUAAGCACAUGAAGGUGCACGGGCGCUCGCCGCCGCCCAGCUCUGGCUACGAUUCGGCUACACCGUCUGCCCUCGUGUCGCCCUCGUCGGACUGUGGCCACGAGUCCCAGGUGGCCUCCUCGGCGGCGGUGGCGGCGCGUAGCGCCGACUUGAGCGAAUGAUGUCCACCGCGUUGCUC